Molecule: unclassified non-coding RNA, 141 nt
Filed under: uncultured fungus
Lineage: Eukaryota; Fungi
Description: sequence contains ITS1, 5.8S rRNA gene
Source: RNAcentral
CCAUGUUUCCGAGCUAUGCCUUUGGCUGGCUCGAUUUCACCCUUGUCUUGUCUACCCUGUUUCCUCGGUGAUGGUAAAGACCUGCCAGAGGACAUUUUUAAACCAUGUACUUGCAAUCAGCGUCAGAAAACAUAAUAAUUA